GGUUGAUUGGUCAAGCGGUUAAGACGCCGCCCUCUCACGGCGGAAACAGGGGUUCGAUUCCCCUAUCAACUG
This 72-nucleotide transfer RNA is filed under the name Lachnospiraceae bacterium OF09-33XD. It matches the Rfam family "tRNA". Rfam says of the family: Transfer RNA (tRNA) molecules are approximately 80 nucleotides in length. Lineage: Bacteria; Bacillati; Bacillota; Clostridia; Lachnospirales; Lachnospiraceae. RNAcentral also lists the same sequence under 2 other names. The record is from Rfam by way of RNAcentral.